Molecule: ribosomal RNA, 60 nt
Filed under: Colletotrichum nymphaeae
Lineage: Eukaryota; Fungi; Ascomycota; Sordariomycetes; Glomerellales; Glomerellaceae
Description: partial 28S ribosomal RNA
Source: RNAcentral
UUGACCCCGGGUUAUAGAGGAAUAACCGCUGAAGUUCCCCCCCCCAGUUACCCCGAGGGG